CCGGGCAGAAAGUCGCAUCAUGGGACGAACAAAAAAAUAACUUGAGUUGUUUUUGAUAUCAUGGCAUGUUUGAUAUUUGUUCCAAAAACUCUUAAAAUGCGCGCCGAAAUCUAUGUUCCUUUCUAUGUUUGUAGACCUUUUAUCAUCAGUUGAUAAAUUUUCAUUUUCUCAUGAUAUUACCGGACUUAGAAAAAAAUCGAAAGCCGAAUUAUUUUGGGACUUAGAAAAAAAAUUGACCUCUUUAUCAUGAGAUGAUAUAAUUUUGUUUUAUCAUGUUUUUGCUGGACUUAGAAAAAUUUCGAAAGCCAAAUUAUUUUGGGACUUAGAAAAAAUUUCGAAAUCUUUAUCAUGCAAUGAUAUUAUUUUGUUUUAUCUUGAUUUUGCUGGACUUAGCAGAAUUUCGAAAGCCAAAUUAUUUUGGGACUUAGAAAAAAUUUCGACCUCUUUAUCAUGAGAUGAUAUUUUCUAGUUUUAUCUUGUUUUUGUUGGACUUAGCAAAAUUUUCACUCCUCGACAAAAUUUCACUUUUCCGACACUUAGAAUAUUUUUGAAAACCCUGGAUUAUGAGAUGAUUUAUAAAAUUAAAUUUUUUUCAAGCGGGACUUACCUAAAAUGGCAGUUUUGUUAAUGGACAUUUUUAUUGAAUUUUUUUUUCACUUUAAUUUACUUCAAAUACACUAGUUAAACUAAUCACAUUAAAAAGUAUUUUACCGCAUAUAAAAUUUCAUCGCAAAGCGCAAAAAUGAGCCCACGCGCUCGCUCUCUCUCUCUCUUCUCUCUUCUUUCGUUCACUGCUCGCACGCAACGCGCGCGACCUGUCUUGACAGGAAUCGGCAAUCGGCAGACAGACAGCUUUUGCGUUCGUGGCGGGCUGGUUUGUUUACGUUUUCGCGCAGUAGUUUUCCGCGGAUGAAUUAUAGUCCGCGAAUCGCCGCGGGUUGUGAGUACGUUCUGUGGCCGAGGUAGUGUGUGUUCGUUCGUUCCGUGGUGUUCGAGACCGUGAUAUGUUGUGGUUAAGUGAUUGUUUGUGUUUUUGUGGCUGGGGGGCGAAGAAAAAGUUUCGCUCCGUGUUGACGGGUGCAAGGAAAGUUUCGGCCAAGCCGCUGCCCCAGAAAAGUAAUCCUCUUGCUCAAGAUGCUGCUGUGGAUUAACGAGGAAAGGAUUUUGGCGGAUUCGCCAGGACAAGGACAAGGGUUUGUUUACGUUUUUGGUGCAGUAGUUUUCCACUGAUUAACAACAGCCUGCGAAUCGCCGCGGGUUGUAAGUGCGUAUUUUGGCCGUGGGAAUGUGCGUUCGUUGGUGUCGUUUUAUGUGAGAGUUGCGAAAUGUUUGUGGAAAAAAAAAUUACGUUAGCGAAAUCCUCCUGCCUACAUGCCGCUUUUCAUCGUUCCUCCUCCUCCUCCUGCCGGUGAUGUUAAGACGUGGAUCAACGCCGGAAUGAUUUUGGCGAUUUUGACAGUUUUCGGUGGAGGAAAACAGCAGUGUCGAUUUGUUUUGGUUUUUGUCGUCGCGUCAUCAGAAUCGCGAUUUGUGGGGAAACCGUAUUUGAUCCGUGUGUUUUCGCGAGUGUGCGUGUGAUUGUUUACGUUUCUGCAUCAUGGUGGUGAUUGGGGACUGGACGUGACACUGUGACAUUGUUUCUAUCGUUUUGGAGUGUCAGCGACAGAAGGAUGAACCUUCCUCUUGUGAUUCCGGAGGAGGUGAUUCAAUUGAGUGGCUCGAAAGCAGUUUCACGGAGGAGGAUGAGUCCACCUGAAGCGGCUACAGAUGUUGUUUCUACUAGUCAAGCCGACAAAUAUUUUUCGACGAUUUUUAAAACUCAGAUAAGUAUUGCUUGUUUUCUUUUUCUUUGUUUACUAUUGAAUUUUUAAUUAUUCCAUAAAUUUUGUUUGAGAAUUGAUGCUUUGUGUUUUAUUUUCUUUUACAGAUCUACUAACGGGCAUUUUCUGGACAUUCGGCUUCUAGAAUUUUGUUUACUUUGACCAAUCAGCUGCAAAAAUGAAUUGUGCUGCAAUCAUAUGCUCUCUGGAUGGAUUGGAUGAGGAUUAACAAGGUAUGUACGAGAAUUAUUAUUUCAAAGUGAACCUAUCACUUCAGUUUAGAAAUUCUUUCAAACAUUUCAAUGUUUGUUUAGCAAAGUUCAGUUUUUCAUUCUGUUAUUUAUGCUGAUUUUGAAUACACAUUAUUGACUUUUGACAGAUUGAUAUAAAAUUCUGAAAAUAAAUUAUUUAUUGAUAAGGAUUGCAUAUAUUUUUUUUAUUCUUUCCUUUAAAGACCAUAUUUUUGUUUAUUUUUUUUUUGUUUGGGAAUUUUAUAAAUUUAAAUGUUUGUAUAAGACCGAGCCACGUUGCCCAGUUGUAACGCUUCCGCCUUGACAAUAUUUACAAAUUUCUACACUUUCAAAUAGGUUUGCUAGAAUUUCAGGAAAAUUUUCAGCGGCUAAUGCAAAUAAAUUAGUGCAUUAUUGAUUUGUUUAGUUCAAUUGUACAGAUUUUCGAAGCUUUUUCUUUGACUUGGCUUUACAAAAAGUUUGAUUUGUUUUAAUAUUGUUAGUAGUAUGCAAUUUUGGAUGUAAUUUUUUGCUGCCCCCUGAUUUUUCGGGCAAACUUCGAAGGGAGAAGUGACAAAAACUUUAAAUAAAAUUUGUACCAGCCUUACUUAUUCACACUAAACUUUGAAUUAAUUCGAAUUAUACGGCAAAUGAUACAGUCAUCCCACAUAUUCGGAACACCCACAAAUUCGGAACACUUUUGUGAUAAUUUGUCAAAAGCAUGCCAAAUGCAUCUUUUCUGUGUACCUUUAUUUGGACAUUCUUUUGCUAUUUCAUUAAUAUAAGUAGAACUUUUAAACAAAAAACUGCAUUUCGAGACCAUUUUAUUCAGAGCAGCAAAACGCUGCUUCCAAAUUGCCUGUUCCAUAAUUGUGUGAUAUUUUCACAAAAAAAGUUAGCAGACCAUUCAUAAAACAUUACUAAGCAUGAGUUUUAUUGGUUUCAGAAUGUGAAGUCACUUUUUUUUUCAAUAUGUACCCCAGGAGCGAUAAAAAAGAUUGUUUACAUCGUAAGAAAAAAGUGUUCCGAAUUUGUGGAUUUCAAGGGUCAAAGUUUUUCUUCAAAAACUUGAUAUAAAAUGUUAAAAUUUGCAGUUGUUCAAUACAGCAUUCGAAAGAUCGCAAAAACAGCUUUCAAAUGAAGGUAAAAGCGAAUCAUUAUGUUCAAUUAUCGAUUUUCUAUGAUUUUUUGAACAUUGGCCGAUCUGUAAACUGUUCCGAAUAUGAGGGAUGACUGUAUACAAAUAUUAAAAAAAAUUUAGAUUGUCAUUAUGUUUAGUCUUCCAGCAGUUUGUUUGCUAGAGUUUUUAAUUUUAGGCUUAUUCAAUAAAAAUAAAUUUUACUAGAAAAUCACAUUAUAUCAUUAAAUUAAUUUGUUUUAUUUAAAUACAAUUGAAAAACAGUCUAUAUGAAACUUAUAUUUUCUUACUGUGUAUUACGCUUUCUAAAGCAACCAAAUUAUUACAGAAAAAAAAAUAUCUGGAAACAUCACAACUUGUUAUGAAACUUUUAUGUUUUUGUAUGAUAUUUUUCGCCCCAUAUUUUUCCAGGAAAAAAAUGAACUGGUCGGGAUAAUUUUAUGUUUAUGGAUGAUAUUUUUCCGCACCAUAGCAUGAUAAUUUGAAGUUUCCAACACGAACUUAAGUUGAUAAUUUUUUGAUAUGCGUAGAGUAAAUUAUGUUCGCGUUUAUGUUUGAUUAACUCUUAACUGGAAGUUAACAGGUACUUGACAUGUUUGUGUUUUUGCGAACAUGACAAGUUUUCAGGAAGAUGUAACUUUCUGCCCGGAUAACCGAACAUGGCCACGAACAUAAAUUGUUCGAGGUGUAUCUGCGAAAAAUCUUGUUGAGUUUAUUUGACCAACAAUGCCACAUCAAGUUGAGUUUAUAGUAGCAAACAACUGAAAUCUUCCAAAAAUCAUAUCAAGUUCAUAAAGUAGAUUUUGAUCCCAAAAAUAAUUUUAUUGGUUUUUAAUGCACCCC
Molecule: long non-coding RNA, 4031 nt
Organism: Culex pipiens pallens (northern house mosquito)
Lineage: Eukaryota; Metazoa; Arthropoda; Insecta; Diptera; Culicidae
Exons: 2
Source: RefSeq, a predicted model, not a curated record